Molecule: long non-coding RNA, 760 nt
Organism: Nilaparvata lugens (brown planthopper)
Lineage: Eukaryota; Metazoa; Arthropoda; Insecta; Hemiptera; Delphacidae
Exons: 2
Source: RefSeq, a predicted model, not a curated record
CAAAAUAUUCUCAUAUUUUAAAAAAACAUUAUACAAAUAUAACACCAUCUAUAAUAAUACACAUAAUAUACAAUAUACUUACAUAUGUAUGUUCACUUUUUACAGGAAUAUUCAAAAUAUUAUAGUUUAUUGUUACGCCUAAUAAAUGGUAAACGACUAGCACCACACUGAUAUUAUCACUAGGAGUUCCGGAAGCCACUUAAAUUUUAUCACUAAUAACGGUUCAACACAAAAGUAUUUAACACACACCGACAAACUUUAUAUACAAAAAUAAAAUUCGAUUAAAUUUACUUUCGGUGAAUUUGGUUGACGGUAACUGUUGAACACUGUAGCAGCAAAAGGCCCUGAAAAACAAAACCAAACGCAAGAUCAUUCAUUUCGAGAAAUCAACUAAAAUAUAUGAAUAGGAAUUGAUAAAUUGACUGAAAUUAACUAAAUUAAUUAUUGAUAAAUCAACUAAAAUAUAUGGAUAGGAAUUUAUAAAUAGUUUAGGAACGAUACAAAAGGUGGGAACUGAUAAAAAAUUGGAAAAAAAAGGUGUAUGUCCAGUUGCAGGUAGGCCUAUUGGAUUCAAGGCACAAUUCAUGUAUCUAUAAUUUAAUUAGGAUGAAAUCAAAAUGAAAUAAAUAUCAAGAAUUUCAAUGCUGAAUAUCAAACAUUCUGAAAACCUCAAAGAAACGAGUAUCUAGUUGAGCUUCAUCAAGGGGGAUUGAUUUAUGAAAAUUCCAUUAGAAAUGCAUUGUGUCAUAGGGUGAUGAGU